RNAcentral lists this ribosomal RNA (481 nucleotides) under uncultured bacterium. RNAcentral describes it as "partial 16S ribosomal RNA". It matches the Rfam family "Bacterial small subunit ribosomal RNA", at positions 28 to 507 of the family's 1533-position model. The record is from RNAcentral.
GACGAACGUUGGCGGCGUGCUUAAUACAUGCAAGUCAACUGAAGCAGUGGUAGCAAUAUCGCUGUGGAGGUGGCGCACGGGUGAGUAACACGUAGGUAAUCUGCCUUCAGGUCUGGCAUAACUCCGGGAAACCGGGGCUAAUAGCAGAUGAUGCAGCGGCUCGACAUCGAGACAGUUGUUAAAGCUAUGGCGCCUGAAGAUGAGCCUGCGUCUGAUUAGCUAGUUGGCGGGGUAACGGCCCACCAAGGCAACGAUCAGUAGCUGGUCUGAGAGGAUGAUCAGCCACACUGGAACUGAGACACGGUCCAGACUCCUACGGGAGGCAGCAGUAAGGAAUAUUGCUCAAUGGGAGAAAUCCUGAAGCAGCAACGCCGCGUGAGGGACGAAGGGCUUUUGCUUGUAAACCUCUGUAGUGAGAGAAAAAAAUCCCAAUCUUUGGGACAUGAUGGUAUCUCAAAAGUAAGCCCUGGCUAACUACGUG